This is a long non-coding RNA of Gorilla gorilla gorilla (western lowland gorilla), 4518 nucleotides long. RefSeq lists it as uncharacterized. The transcript is spliced from 3 exons. NCBI's taxonomy places the organism in Eukaryota, Metazoa, Chordata, Mammalia, Primates, Hominidae. The record is from RefSeq and is a predicted model, not a curated record.
CUCGCGCCCGCGCCCGCCGACCCCGCGCCGGCCCGCCAGGGGGACGCCGGCCCCGCUCUGGGCGUCACUGCGCGCCCCGGCUACGCGCGCCCCGGCAUCCGUGAGAGAGGCGCGCGCCCGCCACCGCUGGGGGCUCCAGCCGCCCGCCGACCCGGGACUGGCAGAGGGGACGCCGCGCCCGAGCCGCUCCUCUGGAUGGCGACAGAGACGGCCUGGCGCGCCCGCAGCCUGAGCCCCCCAUGGGGAGGACGGCCGGGCCAGGUGAAGUUCGUGCACUUGGGCCUUCCGCGUCCCCAUCCACCGCAGCCCGGGCCUGGAAGGCUGGGGAGGGGGCGGGGGCGGCAGACGCCUCCUAAGGUGGGUUCUGGGACUUGGAUCCGGAGUUUAUUCCAAGGAGAAGGUGCUCUGGGCCUGUUCCCUAGGUGUGCCCUGUUACCCAAAAUCGGGCUUGUGCAGUGGGGUCCCUGAGUCCACUGGGAGCACAGCCUCAGACCCCAGCAGAGUCACCCUUCAUCGGAAGCCCAGCACCCUGAGGGCUCCUCCUCCACCUGGGGCGGCACUGCCAGGCACAGGCACGCACUAUCCCUCAGUCCUCUGCCCCACGAUCACUCUACUCGGGCACCUCUGCCACUGCCCCGUCCUUACUGAGCCAUCUCCUGGUUCAUCUCCCUGGAGUCCCUGCGGGACCGGCUCUCGGUGGCGUCUCCGGGCUCCCAGUCCCAGGACUGGUCCUAUCCAGGUGGGUUUUCUGAGCAGGAUGACAAUGAUCGCAAUCUAUUUUACCUGCAUAGUCAAUGAUCAUCUGCAAGACAGGUUCACUCCUAUAACAAGCAAAGGGUGGGGGAAAUGAGCCUUGUACGGACACAAGGACACUUUCCCCGUCUCCAACCCUCCUAGUCAUGUCCCCUCUGCACCUCCCUCUACAGCCCAGGAGAUAUGCUCCCCAGUCCAGGAUGUCCAGAUGGCCCUGCUGCCUGGAGAGGCUCUGGCCCCUGCCGGUACCUGCCACAGCACCACCCCAAGCUCUCCCUUCCUGCAGGGAGGUGAUUCUGCAGAAGUUGGGGCUCCUGACAACUUUGGGGUGGCCAUGAGGGAUGUACCUCUUGCCUCUGGAUGUGCAGGGUGUCCUUUGGCCCCUUGUCAGUCCUCCAUCCCAGGAAACUAUGGAUUCUAUCAUUAUACAUAGGUGAGUAUUUUCUGUAAGAUUAUAAAAAAUGGAAUUAUCCAGUAUAUACUCCUUUUUUUUCUGACUUGGGUGACUCAGCAUAAUUAUUUUGAGAUUCAUCCACGUGACUGCAUGUAUCACAAAUAAUUCCUUCCUUUCUAUUGCUGAUCCCUUACCAUCGCAUGGAUAGACCAGGUGUCCAUGUACUUACCUGUGAUGGACAUUUGGGUUGUUUACUCUUUUUUUUUUGAGAUGGAGUCUCACUCUGUCGCCCAGGCUGGAGUGCAGUGGCGCGAUCUCGGCUGACUGCAAGCUCCGCCUCCAAGGUUCACGCCAUUCUCCUACCCCAGCCUUUCGAGCAGCUGGGACUGCAGGCACCUGCCACCACGCCUGGCUAAUUUUUCUGUAUUUUUAGUAGAGACGCUGUUUCACCCUGUUAGCCAGGAUGGUCUCGAUCUCCUGACCUCAUGUUCCGCCCGCCUCGGCCUCCCAAAGUGCUGGGAUUGCAGGCGUGAGCCACUGCGCCCGGCCUGUUUACUCUUUAGACUAUUACAAAUAAACUGCUGUGAACAUUCAUGCACAAGUAUUUGUAAGAGCACAUACUUUGUUUUUUUGUGGCUAAAGCGCAAGGGGUUGAAUGGCUGGAUCAGAUGAUAGGCAUACAUUUCACUUUUUACUGAACUGCCAAACUCCUUUCCAGUGUGAUGGCACCAUUUGACACGUGCCCCGGCCACAUGAGGAUUCUACUUCUUCUGCAUUUUGGCCACGUCCUGGCAUGGUGGGUCUUUCUGAUUAUAGUCAUCCUAAGGGGUAAGAGAUAGUAUCUCACAUGGCAUUAAUUUGCUUUUCUCUAAUGACUAAUCAUAUUAAGAAUUAUUUCAUGUGUUUAUAUGCAUCUUCUAUGGUGAAGUACUCACAGUUUUCAAUUUUCUUGAUUUCUGAGAUUUCUUUAUAUAUUCUAGAUACAAGUCUUUACGAGACAGAUAAUUUGCAAAUAUUUUUCCCAAUCUAUGGCUUGUCAUGUCAUUCUCCUAACAAUGUCAUUUAAAAAGCAUAAGUUUUUUAUUUUGAUAAAUUCCAGUGUAUCAAUUUCUCCUUCUAUGGAUUGCAUCUUUUGGUGUCAGUAUUUAAGGAAUCUAUACCUAGCCCAAGGACAUAAAAUUUUAAGGUAUAUUUACUUUUAUAAGUCUCAUAGUUUUAGGGUUUACAGUUAGAUCUGUGACUCAUUUUGAGCAAACGUUUGUAAUAUUGUGAAUCAUAGACACAAGUUUAAUUUUUUGCAUAUAGAUUUUCAUUUGUCUUAGCAUAAUUUGUUUGAAAUAUUAUUCUUUCUCCACUGAAUUGCUUCUGCAUCUUUGUCAAUAAUCAGUUGCCAAUAUUUGCUUGUGUCUAUUUCUGGACUCUCUAUUCUGUACCAUUGAUCUAUUUAUCUAACUUUAUGCACACUGUCUUGAUCACUAGAGCUUUAGAGUAAGUCAUGAAAUCAGUUAGUGUUAGUACUCCAUUGUUUUCUGCGUAAAGAGGUUUUUUGGUGCUUCUAGAUCAUUUGCAUUUUCAUAUGCAAAUUAGUAUAUGAAAUUAGUAUGGAUUCUUGGAAAUUUACUUCUACUUAGGGUUAUAAUUUCAUACUGGGUUUUUAUUUUGUAGAUGAGAUGUUUGUAGCUCUGGCCAUCGGGAGCUCUUCCAGUGGUGUCUUGUGUCCACUUGACACGCCCCUGGCCUUGCAGGGUCUUUUUUUUUUUUUUCCCCAGCACUUUUAUUAUUUUAAAAUAGCGUUUUUCCAUCUGUCCACCUGUCUGCAUAACGAAGCGGCCGUGACAGCAGGCAGUGACCCGUGAGGACACCCUGAGUUCCUGCAGCAUUGGGAAGACCACACCUGCUGAUUGAUGAAGACUUGGGCAGGCUUAUUGCCAAUGAAAUUAUAUUUCCUGCCGGGUUCUUUUUCUGACAUGAUGAAAAGCCACCCAAGAACCCAUCCUCAGCUCACAGGUCCUGGCCGCGGGCUCAGGGCGGGUCGGUAUCGGUGGACUGUUCUGUCACUCUUGGACAUCGUCCCUGGAUGAGGGUCUCCAAGGCUUGAGUCUUCAUGGACAGGACAGUAUUUCUGGUUUUCAUUCAGUUUGGUGGCGUCCCGGGGGUUAUGGGGAAGAGCUUGGCCUCCACCAAAGGGGGUAAAAGAGGUGGAGUUGGUGGCUAGAGGGUCCCUCUCUUCAACCAAGGCUGCAGUGGUUGGCUUUGGGCAUCAGGCUUCACUUGAAGGAAAGUUCACAGCGGGGUUUCUGGGUGUCCCUAGAGGAGGCCUGUCCCUUGGGCAUGUCGGCCCUCUUGCUGUCCGGUUCUGGCCCCCGACUUCUGACCCAGCUGCACUCUUCCCCUGGGGAACUGCUCCUUCACUCCUUUGCCCAUGCGUGUUGGGUGAGGCUAGUCCAUCCCCGAUGUCAAAGCUCAUAGGGGCUCACGUGGGCUGGCCAGUGACUGGCUCCAGUAUGAGCCAAUUCCAGGGCUUUUGCAGAAAUUGCUAGAAAAGGAGCACAGUUUCAUCACUGGCCCUGCUACAUGUGGGACCCAAGCCCAGAGCUGUCCAGAAGCACUGGGAACAGGGAGCCUGCCUGAGGACAGAGCCUAAGGUGGAAGUGACCACAGAUGACGUCAGUCGGCCCCUGGGUCCUGCCCCUUGAGGAUGCACCCUUUUUUUCUGCUUCUCAGCAUUUUUACGACUGUGCAUAGACAUUUCCCUUUACCGAGAAGUGGGUUUGAGUGAUGUCUCCCACUAGCAAUGAAAGAUGCUAGCCACAACAAGGUCAUUGCUCUAGGAUUUGCUCAAGAACAUAGCAAAAUGUCCAGGACAGGGAGUGAACCAGGCAGCCUCUCUCCCCGCCGCCGGAGCCUCCCGCUGCCUCUCAGAGACCUCAGGGGAGUGAACUGGCCUCCGACCAGCCGCGGUGACAUCCCUGCCUGCACACAGUUCAGCGGCCUCUCACUGGGGUGGGUGACAUCUCCAGGGCUGGGUACUCCGUGCCAUCAGGCGGCCAUCUAUCGGCCAGACAAACCCCUAGGCACCACACCAGGAAGACCCCCGAGUUCCUGGGCCACAUUCUCGGGAGAAUCUGUCUCCCUUCUUGGACAUUGAAGCUGAGAGAUUUAUGGGCCAAAGUUUUUUCAGGGGAGCUGUCUUUUGAAUUAUCGUGUAAUUAAGAUGCUAAUGGCUGUUUAUGGAACCUUCUCUUCUCAGUCCAAGUGCUCUCUGAAUAAUAAGAAACGUCCCUUUUGUGAUGGCGGAAAACAGCAGUGAGAGCAAAAUCCUUCAUUAAAUCACCAUUUGCAUCUUUUUUCUCCUCUUAUAAUAAAAAGGA